UAAAGGAAACGAAGAAAGAAU
This 21-nucleotide non-coding RNA is filed under the name Caenorhabditis elegans. The record is from RNAcentral. Lineage: Eukaryota; Metazoa; Nematoda; Chromadorea; Rhabditida; Rhabditidae.